UAAUUAGAGAGAUUUUAGAGUCCUAUUAUUGGUAGCAAGAUCUUCCUCCUCCCUAUAAAUAGAGGUGCUCUCUACCAUUGUAAUUCACCCCUUUCAACUCAAUAAGAAGAACUCUCUCUACUCUUCUCUCUAUUGCUAUUGUUCUUGUUCUAUUGUUCUUGUCUUUUACUUUAGUUUAUAAUAUGUUUCUUUUAUUUGAGAGUUUUUACUACUUUUACUUGCAGUACUGCCUUGGUCAAAAUCUGGCCGUCCCAAUCAAGUCGAUCAGCAUCCUGCCCGUGCGGCAAAG
RNAcentral lists this long non-coding RNA (289 nucleotides) under Nicotiana benthamiana. RNAcentral's name for it is "long non-coding RNA (NBEN_LNC017481)". The record is from RNAcentral. Lineage: Eukaryota; Viridiplantae; Streptophyta; Magnoliopsida; Solanales; Solanaceae.